Molecule: long non-coding RNA, 1299 nt
Filed under: Pogona vitticeps (central bearded dragon)
Lineage: Eukaryota; Metazoa; Chordata; Lepidosauria; Squamata; Agamidae
Description: lncRNA (ENSPVIG00000005480.1)
Source: RNAcentral
AUGGGAUGGGACUCCUCUGAGGUCUUAGCUCAAUCCUCCAACUCAACAUCUGCCAAGGGUGAGAAGUCCUCCUGCACUUCCCUUUCCUUUAAACCUGGCUCCUGCUAUCUUGCCCAGCUCCAGCCCCACUCUCCAGAUGUGGCUCACUCAACUUUGGACUCCAACUUGGGAUCUUGCGCCUGCUUCCAGCACCCUCAGGCUGCUCUGCCAUCAGGGUCUCUAGGAUGCCCACUAUGGUGUAGGCCUGAGGCAUAUGGCCUGCCAGGGCCAGCCAGAGUGCAAGCACCAAAAGAAUUCUGAUGUGCAUUUUUUUAAAGCUCCUCUCCUUGUCUUCAGUAACAAAUAUGAAAUCUAAAUUGUUACAUUUGCUACUGAUUCCUUGUAUACCUUUCACAGCCAGGUGGACAAACUCUGGCUCUUCUGAGUAUGUUGAGGUACAAGUCCGCACACACCCCUUGUCUCUUCCCAUUGGCCAUGCUGGAGUCUAUAACAUACCUGCAUAAGGGGGCAUCGUUUCCCCAUUUCUGCUUUACAUGAACGUUUUCCCCUGGAAAGUCACAUAUGUAUCACAGGAAGGAUCUAGUUAUCUUGGACACCAGAAUGCAACAAUUAGUAAAGAAGUGCACUACCAUAGCACUGAGUAUUUUUUUAUGUCUGAAAUGCUCAAACAUUGUAACAUAACUUUUAUUUGUGUGUCUUUAUAACAAUAUAAAGAGCUCCACAGGUCUCAAAAGCACAAGGGUUUCUUUUUAACAGUAUCUUGGUUUACAAUUUUCAUACAUAAAAGAUACAAAUUUACCCACUUUAUGUGAUUGCUUAGCUACAGAUUGUGUACCAUUACCUGUUAGCUAUUAAACUGAGACUGUGAUCAGAGAGCACUAAAGCUUUUAUUUUUGUAAAGCUUGUGACAUGGUCCUGUUCACCCUAUUUUCUGGUGAAUACAUGACAUGCAGAAGAUACUAAGCCCAACCUUGCUCCAUGCCUAGUCCAUUUUUGAUCAAACAACAGGGCUAUUCUUUUUAAAGAUUUGGGCUGGAGCAAUUGGGACUGAAUCACAUAUGCAUGGAAGGGUCACUUUAACAGAAAUCACACUUAGUGAAGCAACCCUUUCCAGCAUGAUCCAGUAUAAUCCUAUAUUGCUGUCUGAUCACACACUUUCUCAGAUCUGUAAAAGGCCGCUGUGAAAUGACUGAAUCCAAACACUUCUACCUCACAGGGGAAUAUAAAGAAUAAUAUGUUAUAGUAGAAUUCUGUAAAUGCUGUUCACUAUGGUUAAAUAAAUAGAUCAUGUUCCAAACA